AGAUUUUAUGACGAAUAGACAGCCAUGUCAAAAUGCCCUUGUUUGGAAAGGAUGUGGACUAAUGCUAAUGGACUGUGGGAAGUGGGCAUCCAACAGGGCCUGUCUGCUCAGAUUCUUCUUGGUUUUCUCUAAGGACUCUUUCUAGAACCAAUCAUCAGCUAUAAGAAAGCCUAUAAACCUGAAGAUUGGAGGAGAACAAACCUUGUCCAUAGAAGCCAUUGCUUUUCUUUAUGUCCCCAGAAAGAUGUUAACCAAGAAGACAGAAAGUCUUCGCUGGUAUCAAAUCAAAAUGGAAAGGAAAAUGAGCACAAGGACAUCAAGUUUACUCUUGACUAUGACGAGAAGGUUCCCCUAGAACCUGUGACACUCACAGAGAAAACGAAAGUUGCCACAGGACUGCUCUCUGCCACUGGCAUCGAAAACCACUUCCCCUUUUCUCUACAGUUAAUGCCUUCCUCGAAGACUGUUCUCAGUCUCUGCAGCUGCUAGCCUCUGUCUAGCCUUCUCCAAGCCCUCUCCUCAACCUGCUGUCAGUGCAUAAACAUCCUUUAAGCUUCUCAAAGCACAUCCCAUCUGAACCUAAUGCUGCCAACCCUCCAGGUUUUGUACCUGUAAAGAUUCAGGCAUUAUGCUGGCCUGCCCUGUCACCUGGCAGAAUGCACUCAGGCAGUACUCUGGUCAGCCCAGGGUUCCAUGGCUGCUGCCACUACCUAGUCUGCUGCAAGUGCAAAGGACCCUUAAAAAAGCAAAAAGCAAACAACAACAACAACAACAACAACAAAAAAAAAACCCAACCCUGCCCGCCUCUGCUCCCCCCCCCCCUUGUUUCCCGAAGGGACAGCUAGGGCUUUUCCUGCCUCCCUCUUCUCUCUCUUCUUCUUUCCCCCUCUGUCUCCCCUCUUUCUAUUCUUUCCCUUCCUUCCCCUCUUCUCCCCUCCCCUCCUUUCCCCUUCCCUCUCCUUCCUUUUCUAAUAAAACUUCUUCUUACUUAAGCUCUGUCUGCCUGGCAUGUUUGUCCCUCGCCUGCCACAGAAUCCGACAAGGUCCCCCAUGUCCAUUGUUCCUAACAGUACCCCUCACAAGCACAAACACUAUGUACGUUUCGCUGUCCCUUCACAACUCUGCCUACUCCUGCUUCUUCACACAGCAGUUAGUUUAUAAGAUUAUGGAGGAAGAAGUUGCCACUGUCAAAGACAGCUGUACUGCCGCGCUGCUAUAAGACAGAGGAUGAGAAUUUAAUAAAAGAGCCUAGCUACCAUCUGAUUCGGACAAUUCCUCGCUAUUUUGUUUUCCAUCAGACUUUCUGGGAAGCCACAUACACACUCUAAAGCCUAUAGUAGGGUUGAUAGGUGAUCAUGAAAACAGUUUCCCUCAACAUCCAAAAAUGUGUUCACUAUAUCUCUAAACAUGGCAUCAUUAAUUCUUAGAUUUAGCACUCGCCUAACAUGUGUGAGGCUCUGGGUCCUGUCCCUAGCACCACAAGGAAAGAAACAGCAAGAAAAGUUAAUAUGAAUUAGAAAAUCAAAAUUAGAUGUGGAGGCAUUUAAUCCCCUAGAACUGAGACCUGUCUUUCUGCAAACCUCCUUCUGGGUCUUCUCUAAGCUAUUGGAGAUGUUGUCUCUUUCUAAAUCUUGCACUACUGAUUCUUAUUUCUGCUGUUUGGAAUGCUACUUGCUUGGUGGUAUCCAUCUUCCCUGCCUCAUCCCGCGCUCGCCUUUGGAUCUAAAAUAAUGGGAGGUCCCCAUCUCAGAUAAGCAGAAUCUUUUACUCAGCUAUGACAAGGCAGGAAGUUGCUCUGGUGACCUACAGCAGCCCCACCGGUGUAAUAUUAUCCCCACGAAAGAGAUGUGCACACACACGCAUGUUGGAUUUUAUUGCGGAUUUGUUGUUCUGCUGGUUUGGAUGUUGCUGAGCCAAGCAUGGAGCAAGGGAGCUUUAACCACGGUUGAAAGGAGCACAGCAGAGAGCUGAUUUAGGAGUCCGGUUUUCUAAAGACAAGAGAAGGAGUAGAUGACCUUUCCGGAUCCCUCCAGUCUGAAGGUUUUAUGAUUCUAUGCACGUCCUCUGUCUAGACUUGAAAUGUGU
RNAcentral lists this long non-coding RNA (2085 nucleotides) under Cricetulus griseus (Chinese hamster). RNAcentral's name for it is "lncRNA (ENSCGRG00015040205.1)". The record is from RNAcentral. Lineage: Eukaryota; Metazoa; Chordata; Mammalia; Rodentia; Cricetidae.